This 73-nucleotide transfer RNA is filed under the name Camelus bactrianus (Bactrian camel). It matches the Rfam family "tRNA". From Rfam's summary of the family: Transfer RNA (tRNA) molecules are approximately 80 nucleotides in length. Their secondary structure includes four short double-helical elements and three loops (D, anti-codon, and T loops). Lineage: Eukaryota; Metazoa; Chordata; Mammalia; Artiodactyla; Camelidae. RNAcentral also lists the same sequence under 2 other names. The record is from Rfam by way of RNAcentral.
GACGGUAUAAGCUCAGUGGUAGAGUUCAUACUUAAUAUGCAUGAGAUCCUGGGUUCAAUCCCUAGCACCACCU